This 1709-nucleotide long non-coding RNA is filed under the name Daphnia pulex (common water flea). RNAcentral's name for it is "uncharacterized LOC124193891". The record is from RNAcentral. Lineage: Eukaryota; Metazoa; Arthropoda; Branchiopoda; Diplostraca; Daphniidae.
AAAUAAAUAAUAGGAACUAUUUUAACCUUAAUGAAGUGAUAUUUUUAGAGACAGAAUGGCACCAAAUGAGGCGCAAGAAACCUGUUAUAUCCUUCUCAAAUUCGCAAACGGAGAAUUGGGAAUGGGAACUCUAGAUUUCAUUAAGAAACCCAUUCUACAUGUUGGUUUGUUUUCAAGGGGGGCACAAGUUCAAGAUCUUAUACGGGAUGAAACUGAAAUUGCUGUUGUAUAAGCUUGAUUUUCUUAGAAUACUUGUUAAAUUUAAUAAUCAGAGGUGUGCGUUGACAAUUUCAAGGUGGCCAAAAGAUCAACAGUUUUCUUUCAAGAUUCCUGUUGUAGAUACGUCAAGUUUCAGAAAGUGGCCUUUGAAAGCUGCCACUCUUCUGGCAUGUUCUGAUAAGAAACGAGAUAUCAUACAGAGAAGAAAUGAUAUGGCUGCACAGAAAACAAUCUUGAAUUCUCAAGAGUUACGAGAAGCAAUGACAGUGUCUGAAGAUGAAAGUGAUAACGAAGAUGAUAAUGAAGAUGACAGCAGUGCAGAUGAAAAUAGAAAUGCAAUCCCGAAAGAGUCACCACUGCCAUCACCUAAGUCAUUCGCAACUUGUUCGCGACCAAACAUAUCGACUGCAAAUAACAAGUUCGUCACACCCAGCCUUUUUGAUUCAAGCUUCACCAGGAGGUAACGGUGUGUAACUUAAAAACAACGCCGUCUUAUCCAAGUUAUCAAAUAUUUCUUCCUCGCCACCGUUUACUCCAUUACAUUCAAGAAUCAAUAAUGAACGUCACCAGUAUGGAACUCCAGUUACUGGGAAACGGACGAUUCGCCAAGAAAAUGAACUGUUAAGGUCUAAAGUUGAAAAGCUUAAAGAAACCAUGGCUUCUAAAGAAGAUCAACUUAAAACGCAGGAAGAAGAAAUGCAGAGAAUGGAAGAGGAACUGGCUGCAACGAAAUCUAAUAUGCUAGAUAAUCCAUAUCUGUUCUUUCCCAUACCUUGAAGGAAGGUUUGCAGUUGCUGCAAUCAAUAAUUUCUACGGCUGGUGAACAUCAUCUCCUCUUCAAGACAGGACCAGGAAUACAGCUUUGACAGCUAGUGGUUUUCAGAAGGUAAAACUUAGCCGAACGUGUGCUACUCUCAUUAAUCCGAAUGCCCUGAAAAACGCUGUCAGUUACGGGAAUGGAGGCAAGAAAACAACGGACAUGAAUGCGAUGAUAAAUAUUAUCAUGGAGGACAUUUGGGACAGAAAAUUCAUGUCCGAGCAUUCUCUUAGUGGAAAUGAAGCAAAAAAUGACAAGUCUGACAAACCAGCGAAGCCUGCCCUACCCAAUGAUUCCGUUCAGGCAAUCAUAAGUAUUCAUUUUAUACUUUAUAGAAAAAAAACCAAUGCAUAACAAUUUACCCUUUCGCAUUUUUUUUAGAUUAUGUCACCGAAUUUUGGAGAAAGCAAUACACCUUCACCCUGGAAGCAAAGCACAUUAGGAGUGCUAUCAGUAACAAACUCUCGACCGAAAACUCGGCGUUCAAGAAAAGAUCAAAAAUUGUUGCAUCAGAAACUGCCAGAAAUAAUUUAACCGCUGAUGAUGAUGGACAACCUAAUGGUGCUGCUGGCGGUGAUGAAGACGAAGAUGACGAAAUAGCAAAUUAAUUAUUUAAAUAACUCUUACAUGUUCAUUUUAAAUCAUCAGCAGUUCUGCUGAGCAAAUUAAUUAU